This is a long non-coding RNA of Stylophora pistillata, 367 nucleotides long. RefSeq lists it as uncharacterized. The record is from RefSeq and is a predicted model, not a curated record. Lineage: Eukaryota; Metazoa; Cnidaria; Anthozoa; Scleractinia; Pocilloporidae.
AGGCCUCAAUAUUCAUUGCCUUCAGUUUGAACAGUUGGAUUUUGAUCUAAAGAUAAUUGUCAAUAAAACCGAGGAUCCUUUCUACAUAGGCGGACGUUAGGCCUCAAUACUCAUUGCCUUUCAACAGUUGGAUUUUCAUCUAAACACCGAUCACUAUAAAACUUGGGCUUUUGUCUUUCCAAGGGAAACUGACCUCGAUCAGGAGAUUUCAGUGAAGAUCCUUUGUUUACUUUAAUCGCGGACAUUAGACCUCGAUAUCCAUUAUCUUUGACAGUUGGAUUUUCAUCAAAUGGCCGAUCACUAUAAAACUGAGGCUUCUGUCUUUCGAAGUUGACUGUUGACACCGCAGACUUUACAAAGAAAGUCG